UAUCUCUGUAGAGUCUGCAUAUCAAUAAGCGGAGGAAAAGAAACUAACUAGGAUUCCCUUAGUAACGGCGAGUGAAGCGGGAAGAGCUCAAAUUUGAAAUCUUCAAGGUUUUACCUUGACGAAUUGUAGUUUAAAGAAGUGUUUUCUGUUGGUGUUUUGGUAAAAGUUCUUUGGAAUAGGACAUCAUAGAGGGUGAGAAUCCCGUAUUUGACCAUUACUUCCAGCGUUGUGAUACACUUUCAAAGAGUCGGAUUGUUUGGGAAUGCAGUCCAAAAUGGGUGGUAAAUUUCAUCUAAAGCUAAAUAUUGGCGAGAGACCGAUAGCGAACAAGUACCGUGAGGGAAAGAUGGAAAGAACUUUGAAAAGAGAGUUAAACAGUACGUGAAAUUGUCAAAAGGGAAGCGUUUGACACCAGUGUUGUUUUCUCGAAAAUCAAUUAAAAAAAGUUGGAUUUUGUAUUGUUAAGACCUUAUCAGCUUACUGUACUCUUUUCUUGCUUUUUUUAAUGCACUUUUCGUUUAACAAGUCAGCAUCAAUUUCUUUUGUUGUAAAAGAGUCAUUGGAAGGUGGCUUUCACUUCGGUGAAAGUGUUUAUAGCCUUUGGCUUCUGCAAUCGGAGAGAUUGAGGUCUGCAGCGUAGAUCCUUCGGGGCUAGAUACGUAGAUGCUAAGUUAUAGUUUUUUAUAGACAACUUGUUGACUAUAAUUAAUCAUGUAGCUUACUCGUUUGCGCUAUUUUACCUACGCUUAGGAUGUUGACGAGACUGUCGAUCUC
Molecule: ribosomal RNA, 774 nt
Filed under: uncultured Neocallimastigales
Lineage: Eukaryota; Fungi; Neocallimastigomycota; Neocallimastigomycetes; Neocallimastigales
Description: partial large subunit ribosomal RNA
Rfam family: Eukaryotic large subunit ribosomal RNA
Source: RNAcentral